UGCUAAAAAUAACCGAGUUAUCUCACCAGAAAAUCAAAGGAAAGUUUACCAUUCAUGUUACAAUUGAAUGAAAUUGAGUAGAAAGAAGUCUGCCAGAAUUGCUAAAAAUCAUGACUUUGGAUUUACUUAUAUUAACUUUCAGUCCCCAAUUAUUGCAAUAGAUAUGUAGUUUAUCAAGACAUUCUUGCAGACCCUUAGGAGUUUCAGAAAGCAAAAUUAGUUCAUCUGCAUACAUCAGAAAAUUUUGUAUUAUUUAGUUUAACUGGAAAGCAAUCUUCAUCAAAUAUAUCGGGAAUAUCAUUAACAAAAAUGUUGUCUAAGAUGGAACUUAAAUUAUCUCCCUGUCUUACUCCUAUAAAAGAUGAAAAAGUGUCAGUUACAUGAUUGGGGUCAAUUUUCACUGACAAUAAAGUUUUAUUUUUUUUAAUAUUUAUGUGUUAUGGUAAAAAAUUAAUCACCGCAUUCAUUUAUUAGAUUUAAUUUUGUUCAACGUAAUCAGUACGAUAUUUUACGUU
Molecule: long non-coding RNA, 515 nt
Filed under: Mytilus galloprovincialis (Mediterranean mussel)
Lineage: Eukaryota; Metazoa; Mollusca; Bivalvia; Mytilida; Mytilidae
Source: RNAcentral